CAAUUUACAAACUGAAAUCCCCAAGAAACCUAGUAGUUGCUAGUGUGCUACACCUACGGAUGCGAAACCUUACGGAAAGAUUACGCGCUGACGGGUCUCCUGACGUGUUGCCAGCGUGGAAUAGAAACCUAGUCCGCACGGUAAGAUAAAAAAAAAAAAACAGUCACGCAAGGUAAAUCCCCGAUCCUAUCUCCUGGGGACGGAGCGAGGCGGCGUCGCGCCGUGAUCUUGCGUCGGCCCGGCCGUUGUCGGUUGCAGCUGCUGGACGGCAAGCGCCGUCUCCCCGGUGAGCUGCUGGACGGGCGGACGACGUCUCCCUGGCGAGCUGCUGGACGUCAAGAGGCGUGCUGCUGAACGGGAAGCGACGCCUGCGUGGAGAGCUGCUGGACGGAAGCCGGCGGCGCGCAAGCUGUUGGACCACAGGCGGCAGCCUUGGCGAGCUCUUAGUACGGGCGCCUGCAGGCAGGGCAUGGUUCCAUCAUCGACGACAAGGCAGGCGAGGCCCAACUGUAGCCUUGGUGCUGCAUCUGGUAUGUACAUGUGCAGUAUGAGCAGUAGACCAUGGACUUGUAGGUAUAUGGAAGAAGACAAAUUGUAGAGUUGUCUUUGAGAUCUGAAUGUUGACGUCAAGUAGCAAAGCAAGCCUACAGUUCUGGAGUUGGAUACCAGAACUGUGACUGCAGUUGUAAAUAAAAUGCUUGGAGCUUCAUAAGAAGUUGGGAUCUACAAAAAUAUAAAAAAUCUGAAGGCAUAACAUAGUCCAUAGCUUAGCAGUUCUUGAUGAACUAGGAAUAAUGGUGUUUUUUUUGGACAGUAUCCCAGGAACUUACCAACUGGUUGUAAGAGAAAUGUUGUAAACUCUGAUAUUGUAAAAUAUACAAUGUAGUUAUGAUCUUGAUAUUUUAAAGGAUUGUAAACCUUGGUCUAACAACUUGUAUUGUGGAAUAAUGAAUAAGAAAUAUGUUUGCUGGAAA
This is a non-coding RNA of Lolium perenne, 974 nucleotides long. The record is from RefSeq and is a predicted model, not a curated record. NCBI's taxonomy places the organism in Eukaryota, Viridiplantae, Streptophyta, Magnoliopsida, Poales, Poaceae.